Molecule: ribosomal RNA, 548 nt
Filed under: uncultured bacterium
Lineage: Bacteria
Description: bacterial SSU rRNA
Rfam family: Bacterial small subunit ribosomal RNA
Source: RNAcentral
UGGGGAAUUUUGGACAAUGGGCGCAAGCCUGAUCCAGCCAUGCCGCGUGCGGGAAGAAGGCCUUCGGGUUGUAAACCGCUUUUGUCAGGGAAGAAACGGUCUGGGCUAAUACCCCGGACUAAUGACGGUACCUGAAGAAUAAGCACCGGCUAACUACGUGCCAGCAGCCGCGGUAAUACGUAGGGUGCAAGCGUUAAUCGGAAUUACUGGGCGUAAAGCGUGCGCAGGCGGCUUUGCAAGACAGAUGUGAAAUCCCCGGGCUUAACCUGGGAACUGCAUUUGUGACUGCAAGGCUGGAGUGCGGCAGAGGGGGAUGGAAUUCCGCGUGUAGCAGUGAAAUGCGUAGAUAUGCGGAGGAACACCGAUGGCGAAGGCAAUCCCCUGGGCCUGCACUGACGCUCAUGCACGAAAGCGUGGGGAGCAAACAGGAUUAGAUACCCUGGUAGUCCACGCCCUAAACGAUGUCAACUGGUUGUUGGACGGCUUGCUGUUCAGUAACGAAGCUAACGCGUGAAGUUGACCGCCUGGGGAGUACGGCCGCAAGGUUG